RNAcentral lists this ribosomal RNA (1319 nucleotides) under Nothochrysa sinica. RNAcentral describes it as "16S ribosomal RNA". The stretch from base 1068 to 1227 matches the Rfam family "Archaeal large subunit ribosomal RNA", at positions 2542 to 2701 of the family's 2987-position model. The record is from RNAcentral. Lineage: Eukaryota; Metazoa; Arthropoda; Insecta; Neuroptera; Chrysopidae.
UAAGUUUAAUUUGUUAAAUUUUUAAAGUUUAAUUUAUGUUUAUUAAAAAUAAUUUUAAUAUAAAAAGUUUUUGUAUAUUUUAUAGAAAAAAUAAUUUUAACAAUAGUUUAUAGUAUAGUAAUAGAAUAUUGAAAUAAAUAUAAUUAGUAUUAAAGUAAUUUUAAUUAAGUGUACCUUUUGUAUCAGGGUUUAUUAAAAAAAUUUUAUUUAUAAUAAAUUUCUCGAAUUUAAAAGAGCUAAAUUAAUAUAAAAUUUAUUGUUUUAAAAAUAUUUUAAAUAUUAUUUUAGUAAUGAAAAGUUAAUCGUUUUUAAAUAUAUCUAGUUUUUUAAGAAAUAAAUUUAAUUUAUUGUUAAUUUUAUAUUAAUUUAAUUAAAAAAUUUAAUAUAAGUUAAUAUUAAUUUUUUUAGGGAUGAGCUUAAAAAAAUAGUUUAUAAAAUUAUAAAUUUAAUUAAAAAAUAUAGAAUUAGAAAUUUUCAUUAAUAAUAAAAGUGUUAUAAUUUAUUAAAAAUUAUAAUUAAUUUAUUUAAUUUUUAAAUUGUUUAUUAAAAUAUUUAUUAAAAUAAAUAAAAUAAAGUAAUAAUGAUAAAAUUAGUAUUAAUUUUAAAAUAAAUAAAAAUUUAUUAUUUAGAUAAAUAUAAGGAAUUCAGCAAAAAUAAUAUUCACCUGUUUAUCAAAAACAUGUCUUUUUGAAAAUAAUAUAAAGUCUAACCUGCCCACUGAUUUUAUUAAAGGGCCGCGGUAUAUUGACUGUGCAAAGGUAGCAUAAUCAUUUGUCUUUUAAUUGAAGGCUAGAAUGAAUGGUUGAAUGAAAUAUUAACUGUCUCAUAUUUAAAAUAUUAAAAAUUUAGCUUUUAAGUCAAAAGGCUUAAAUAAAUUUAAAAGACGAGAAGACCCUAUAGAUCUUUAUAUUUAUUUAAAUUUUAUAAUUUAGAAAAUUAAUAAAUAAAAUUUAUUAUAAUAUUUUAUUGGGGUGAUAGGAAAAUUAAAAUAACUUUUCAUAAUUUGAAACAUAGAUUUAUGAUUAAUUGAUCCAAUUUUAUUGAUUAUAAGAUUAAGUUACCUUAGGGAUAACAGCGUAAUUUUUUUAGAGAGUUCUUAUCGAUAAAAAAGAUUGCGACCUCGAUGUUGAAUUAAAAAUUAUUUCUAGAUGCAGAAGUUUAGAGUUUAGGUCUGUUCGACCUUUAAAUUUUUACAUGAUUUGAGUUCAGACCGGUGUAAGCCAGGUCGGUUUCUAUCUUUAAUUAAAUAAAAUAUUUUAGUACGAAAGGACCAAAUAUUUAAAAUAAUUUUUAUAUAAAUAUGAAUAAUAUUAAUUUAU